AUUGAACGCUGGCGGCAUGCCUUACACAUGCAAGUCGAACGGCAGCACGGGAGCAAUCCUGGUGGCGAGUGGCGAACGGGUGAGUAAUAUAUCGGAACGUGCCCGGUCGUGGGGGAUAACGUAGCGAAAGCUACGCUAAUACCGCAUACGAUCUAUGGAUGAAAGCGGGGGAUCGCAAGACCUCGCGCGAUUGGAGCGGCCGAUAUCAGAUUAGGUAGUUGGUGAGGUAAAGGCUCACCAAGCCGACGAUCUGUAGCUGGUCUGAGAGGACGACCAGCCACACUGGGACUGAGACACGGCCCAGACUCCUACGGGAGGCAGCAGUGGGGAAUUUUGGACAAUGGACGCAAGUCUGAUCCAGCCAUUCCGCGUGCAGGAUGAAGGCCCUCGGGUUGUAAACUGCUUUUGUACGGAACGAAAAGGUUUCUCUUAAUACGAGGAGCUCAUGACGGUACCGUAAGAAUAAGCACCGGCUAACUACGU
Molecule: ribosomal RNA, 483 nt
Filed under: uncultured bacterium
Lineage: Bacteria
Description: bacterial SSU rRNA
Rfam family: Bacterial small subunit ribosomal RNA
Source: RNAcentral